This is a long non-coding RNA of Centropristis striata (black sea bass), 441 nucleotides long. RefSeq lists it as uncharacterized. The record is from RefSeq and is a predicted model, not a curated record. Lineage: Eukaryota; Metazoa; Chordata; Actinopteri; Perciformes; Serranidae. The transcript has 3 exons.
CAACAACCACAGCUACAACAAGACGAGAAUCACAGGCAGCAACAACUGAACCUUCAACACCUCUGACAGAAACAGAAACUGGUUUUCUGUUGAGAAUGGUUGUUCGUCCGGUGAUUGUAUUUCUCUAUUUAAUCAUCAUGAUCAGCAUCACUGUCAACACCUGGAUAAAGGCUCAUCUCAUAGAAGCGACACAAAAUGAUCUCUGAUCCCCCAACAUUAGUCAUUUCUUAUACUUAUACUGUAACUUGUACUAUACCUGCUUUAACUUGUUCUUAUUUUGAAUCUUUAAUUGUAUCUAAAUGUAAUUGAUGUGUUGUGUCUGCAUUUUCUCUUGAAGUGUUUCUUGUUCUAUGUAAAUCACUCUGAAAUGUCUUUUUGCUGAAAUGUGACAUACAAAUGAACUGGCUUGCCCUAAACUCCUGAUAAUGUCUUCCUUGGAUG